This 495-nucleotide ribosomal RNA is filed under the name uncultured bacterium. RNAcentral's name for it is "partial 16S ribosomal RNA". It matches the Rfam family "Bacterial small subunit ribosomal RNA", at positions 28 to 507 of the family's 1533-position model. The record is from RNAcentral.
GACGAACGCUGGCGGCGUGCCUAAUACAUGCAAGUAGAACGCUGAAGGAGGAGCUUGCUUCUCUGGCUGAGUUGCGAACGGGUGAGUAACGCGUAGGUAACCUGCCUGGUAGCGGGGGAUAACUAUUGGAAACGAUAGCUAAUACCGCAUAAGAGUAGACGUUGCAUGACAUUUGCUUAAACGGUGCACUUGCCUCACUACCAGAUGGCCCUGUGUUGUAUUAGCUAGUUGGUGGGGUAACGGCUCACCAAAGCGAAGAUACAUAGCCGACCUGAGAGGGGGGUCGGCCACACUGGGACGUGGACACGGCCCAGACUCCUACGGGAGGGAGCAGGAGGGAAUCUUCGGCAAUUGACGGAAGUCUGACCGAGCAACGCCGCGGGAGUGAAGGAGGGUUUCGGAUCGGAAAGCUCUGUUUUAAGAGAAGAACGAGUGUGAGAGUGGAAAGUUCACACUGUGACGGUAUCUUACCAAAAAGGGACGGCUAACUACGUG